UGUGUGGUAGCUCAGUGGUAGAGAACUUGCUAGUAUAACUGAGGCCCUGGGUUCAAUCCCCAGCACCACAA
RNAcentral lists this transfer RNA (71 nucleotides) under Heterocephalus glaber (naked mole-rat). It matches the Rfam family "tRNA". From Rfam's summary of the family: Transfer RNA (tRNA) molecules are approximately 80 nucleotides in length. Their secondary structure includes four short double-helical elements and three loops (D, anti-codon, and T loops). Further hydrogen bonds mediate the characteristic L-shaped molecular structure. tRNAs have two regions of fundamental functional importance: the anti-codon, which is responsible for specific mRNA codon recognition, and the 3' end, to which the tRNAs corresponding amino acid is attached (by aminoacyl-tRNA synthetases). tRNAs cope with the degeneracy of the genetic code in two manners: having more than one tRNA (with a specific anti-codon) for a particular amino acid; and 'wobble' base-pairing, i.e. permitting non-standard base-pairing at the 3rd anti-codon position. Lineage: Eukaryota; Metazoa; Chordata; Mammalia; Rodentia; Bathyergidae. The record is from Rfam by way of RNAcentral.